RNAcentral lists this long non-coding RNA (999 nucleotides) under Bos indicus x Bos taurus (hybrid cattle). RNAcentral describes it as "lncRNA (ENSBIXG00005017531.1)". The record is from RNAcentral. Lineage: Eukaryota; Metazoa; Chordata; Mammalia; Artiodactyla; Bovidae.
CUUGUCUCUGUCCUGGCUGGGCUGUCCAGUCUUUGCACCUUUGCUCUGAAAGACAAUGGGAACCAAAGGCCACUGUCACCAUGGCAUAUGAGCAUUGGCCCCAGUAGGUCUGCAUCUUUUAAUGGUGGGUGGCAGUGGGUGGUACACUGGGAGGCCCAGGAAGUAGGAAAUCCUCUUCAGCAUCCAGGGGAAAUAUGCUCAGAACAGUGUCCGGUCUGUGGUAACUACAGGGGAGCUGUUAGCUGUCAUCCUUGCCCCCAGCCCAGCUCUGAGGUGCUGCAGAAUCAACAGGAAUUGGCAACUUCCUGACGAGAAAGAAUGUCACCAGCAUUUCAGGGAAAGCAAAUGGCUGCCUCCUAGUGCUGUUGGGGGCUCUUGGAGCUUUGGUCUCAGGAAGAAGAGCCUGAGUCUGAACAGGAAGUCUGGAGCCCUGAGUGUGAACCGCAGCUGCCUCGAUCAUAGAACAAAACAUCUUAACACAAAGAAUUUUGUAUUCAGUGCAUGGCAAUGGAGGACCCGUGGUGAGACACGCGGCUUGAAGACUACUUGCCUUAGUAGUAUCUGUGCAAAAAAGGAUUUUAUGACGAGAAGCCUGCCCAGAUCAGACCUACGGGGGUGUCUUCUGGAUCAGAGGGUGUUCAUCAGCAGUCUUUAAAAAGACCUCCUCUUCCUUAAGAAUUUUUGUUGGCAAAACAUGGAAGGUCAAAAGGGCAGAACUUCCUGUCGGAAUUUUAAAGCCUCUGUCGCCUUGAUUUUGUUCCUGGCUCAAUGGAGAUGAAUUCCAAGUUGAAGACAAACAAUUGUGCCUUGUGAACAGUCGUCCAUGUGUUGAAAAGACUCUAAGAGUGUUUUUUUUUUUUUUCCAAACCUGUCUCAGGGAAAAUUCCCCAUGGGGGAGGAAGGGAGAGUAAAAUCCAUGCUAGAAAGAGCAACUUCUGAUGACUCUGAGAAUGUGAUUUUCUAAAUAAAUUCAUGGAAGUCAAAAGUGUCUAAUAAUAA